This 77-nucleotide transfer RNA is filed under the name Candidatus Omnitrophota bacterium. RNAcentral's name for it is "tRNA-Pro". It matches the Rfam family "tRNA". Rfam says of the family: Transfer RNA (tRNA) molecules are approximately 80 nucleotides in length. Their secondary structure includes four short double-helical elements and three loops (D, anti-codon, and T loops). The record is from RNAcentral. Lineage: Bacteria; Pseudomonadati; Candidatus Omnitrophota.
CGGGGCGUGGCGCAGUUGGCUAGCGCACUAGACUGGGGGUCUAGGGGCCGCUGGUUCGAGUCCAGUCGCCCCGACCA